Molecule: long non-coding RNA, 1327 nt
Organism: Papaver somniferum (opium poppy)
Lineage: Eukaryota; Viridiplantae; Streptophyta; Magnoliopsida; Ranunculales; Papaveraceae
Exons: 5
Source: RefSeq, a predicted model, not a curated record
AAAACUGAAAACACUCGGAGAAACUAUCUUUUUAACUUCCCCCCUUCUUCUUUACUUAGAUUUAGAUGUUAAAUUCAUUAAUUUAAUCACCCAAAUCACUUGAGAAACCCCUGAUUUCUUUAGAAACUGGAAUCGAGUCCAAUUCCAAAUCCAGUUCCAUCUCAUAGAGCGACCGUGAGUAGAGAUUUUUUUUUCUCCUUUUUCAACAUUAAAGAUCUCUCUGUAAAUUUGUACAUAGAUUUAGCUUUGAACGGUGAAAGCGAUGGUGGAUUGAUGGCCAAGAUGACAGCAGAGAAGAACCAUCAUCAAAAAAGGUGAAGAAACCUAGGGUGGAGGAAAGCUAGAGACGCGAAAUCAGUAAAGAUUCUUUUGAUUUUGUUAUUGCAUAUUAUCGGAAGCUAAGGGAAGCUACCGUUGUUGGUGAGUUGGAUGUGGAGUGGUGCAGAAGGAACAAGCAUCUAUUCGGGUUGGACAACCUGCAAAACGGGGUAGAAAUUUAUGGAGAAUGUUUAGAGAAAUGGGAACAGUCAAUUAUGCAUGAUUGGGGAGGUUUGAAACCUCUUGUAGUUGAAAGGAUUUAGAGUUUCUAAUGAAGAAAGAAAAGCUCUGUGAUUGCGAGCUACAAGUGAGCAAUGCAUCUUACCAGGCUGAAGGACUUGUGAAAGCUCAGCAAGAUAUUGAAGAAUCAAUGAGAGAACGGGUCUGGCAUCCAUAAGAGUUACUGUGGAUUCGAAGAUGGUUGUUGUCUGAGGAUAUGAAGGAAUCAAGAUUGACGAUGGGACAGCGCCACUAAUCUCUAUUCCCGAAAGUGCACUAUUGGAAAAUCCAUUUACAAACCUGCUUCUUUGUUUUGGUUUGCCUUGUAGCAUUAUUAACGAGAGAGUUGCACUGUCAUGGUCCCAGGGUCAUGCUCGAGUAGCUUACAGCAGUGGAGUUUGGAUCUUUAAAAGGUCGUCAUCCUUUACUGGAAGAUGUAAAGAAGAUGGCAGUUGCACUUGGACGUGUUAAUUUUAGCACGCCACCAAAAUAUGAAAAAUUAUGAAGUCCUUCCCGACGAAAUUAUAGAUAGCAAUAUGGAACUAUGUGUUGGAGAUGGAACACUUGGAGAUAUUGAUCCCAGUGAGACUUUGGAAUGGCCAAAGAAAUACGCAACUCCUGCACUUGGAUGUUAAAUCAUAUUGUUUUUAAUUUUUUUAAUUGUUUUUUCUUCUUCUUUGUUGUUUUGAACAUGAAGUAGCUUUUGUUGUUGAAUUUAGAGAUGUUUGGGUUUUUAAGUUGUCAACUGAAAGUUAAUUUUAAUAAAAUGGUUUACAUUUUGCUUACAAAA